CGGGGGGUUUUAAACCUGCAAGCUCGAACGGGGUCCCGCAGUUCGCAAUACUGCCAAAGACCGAGUGGCGAACGGGUGCGAAAAAAGGGAGGAACUUGUCCCGGUCUCUGGAAUAACAGGUGGAAACACUUGCUAAUACCGGAUGGCGUCGGAAUACCGCAUGGUGAACUGACGAAAGGGCUACCGGACCGGGAGAGCCUCGCGGCCUAUCAGCUUGUUGGUGAGGUAACGGCUCACCAAGGCAUCGACGGGUAGCUGGUCUGAGAGGAUGAUCAGCCACACUGGGACUGAGACACGGCCCAGACUCCUACGGGAGGCAGCAGUGGGGAAUCUUGGACAAUGGGGGCAACCCUGAUCCAGCCAUGCCGCGUGAGCGAUGAAGGCCUUAGGGUUGUAAAGCUCUUUCAGCGGGGAAGAUAAUGACGGUACCCGCAGAAGAAGCCCCGGCUAACUCCGUGCCAGCAGCCGCGGUAAUA
RNAcentral lists this ribosomal RNA (476 nucleotides) under uncultured Amorphus sp. RNAcentral describes it as "bacterial SSU rRNA". It matches the Rfam family "Bacterial small subunit ribosomal RNA", at positions 40 to 525 of the family's 1533-position model. Lineage: Bacteria; Pseudomonadati; Pseudomonadota; Alphaproteobacteria; Hyphomicrobiales; Amorphaceae. The record is from RNAcentral.